GCCAUCGUAGCUCAACGGAAGAGCGCUGCACAGGUAAGGCAGGUCACAUUGGCGAUAACGCACAAGGACUAACUACAUGGAUUAGCCACCAUGCAAAAGGAUUGUGUGGGUGCUGGUUCAAAUCCAGCCGAUGGCU
Molecule: transfer RNA, 136 nt
Filed under: Caudoviricetes sp.
Lineage: Duplodnaviria; Heunggongvirae; Uroviricota; Caudoviricetes
Description: tRNA-Thr
Rfam family: tRNA
About the family: Transfer RNA (tRNA) molecules are approximately 80 nucleotides in length.
Source: RNAcentral